GCCAGGUGUGGUGGUGCACUCCUGUAAUCCCAGCAGCUCAGGGGGCUGAGGCAGGAGGAUCGCAGGUUCAAAGCCAACCUCAGCAAUUUAGUGAGGCUUUAAGCAAUUCAACAAGACCUGGUCUCAA
RNAcentral lists this small RNA (127 nucleotides) under Marmota monax (woodchuck). The record is from RNAcentral. Lineage: Eukaryota; Metazoa; Chordata; Mammalia; Rodentia; Sciuridae.